AGAUACCCUAUUAUUUUUAUUGUAAAGUUAGUGAACUAAAGUAUUAAUAGAUAAAUCUUUAAACUUAAAGAAUUUGGCGGUAUUAUAGUCUAUUUAGAGGAAUCUGUUAUGUGAUCGAUAGUCCACGUUGAACCUUACUUAUACUAUUUCUUGUAUAUCGCUGUUUAUGAAUAUAUUAAAAGAUUAUCUUCUGAAUAUUAAAAUAAUUAAUAUUUCAAGUCAAGGUGCAGUAAUGUAUAAGUUUAAUAAUGGAUUACAAUAAAAGUUAUUUAAAAUGGAUAAAAAUUGAAAUAUAAUUUGAAGGUGGAUUUAAAUGUAAUUUUAAAAAGAUUAUUAAAAUGAUUUAAAGCUCUAUAAUAUGUACACAUCGC
This 371-nucleotide ribosomal RNA is filed under the name Taumantis sigiana. RNAcentral describes it as "partial 12S ribosomal RNA". The record is from RNAcentral. Lineage: Eukaryota; Metazoa; Arthropoda; Insecta; Mantodea; Mantidae.